This 465-nucleotide ribosomal RNA is filed under the name Peptostreptococcaceae bacterium canine oral taxon 003. Its description in RNAcentral is "bacterial SSU rRNA". It matches the Rfam family "Bacterial small subunit ribosomal RNA", at positions 9 to 459 of the family's 1533-position model. Lineage: Bacteria; Bacillati; Bacillota; Clostridia; Peptostreptococcales; Peptostreptococcaceae. The record is from RNAcentral.
GAGUUUGAUUAUGGCUCAGGAUGAACGCUGGCGGCGUGCCUAACACAUGCAAGUCGAACGGGGAAUAUAUGUGAAGUUUUCGGAUGGAAUAUAUAUUUCUAGUGGCGGACGGGUGAGUAACACGUAAGUAAUCAACCUAUGACACACGAAUAACUAAGAGAAAUCUUAGCUAAUACGAGAUAAGGUAUAUAAAUCGGAAGAUAUAUAUACGAAAGCUGAGGCGGUUGUAGACGAGCUUGCGUCUGAUUAGCUAGUUGGUGGGGUAAGAGCCUACCAAGGCAACGAUCAGUAGCCGACCUGAGAGGGUGAACGGCCACAUUGGGACUGAGACACGGCCCAAACUCCUACGGGAGGCAGCAGUGGGGGAUAUUGCACAAUGGGGGGAACCCUGAUGCAGCAAUGCCGCGUGAGCGAAGAAGGCUUUCGAGUCGUAAAGCUCUGUCGUAUGGGAAGAAAAAAAUGACA